UUAGCCGUUUCCCGUGAAAUCGGGAGUUUAAGUGGCCAGUAAGCGGGCGACCCGGAUUGGCAGAGGAUCACUCUUCAGGAGACGGUGAUUCGCUCCUUCCCCCGAUAGAGGGUCGGGUGGAAAAUUCUUGGUUUGCAUAUGUUCCACCGGCUGUUUAGCCGGUACCCACUUAACCACACAUAGAGUGCAUUCCUCUUCCCUCUCCAGGUCUCCAGAGGAUCGAGAGAGCCGUGAGCGGGCACACACCAGCUCACCCUACCUCUCCUCUAUCGCCAGCGGGUGUUCUGAGGAGUCCGAGCCCUCCACUGAGGAGACCGGACAACCAUCACCCUCAUCGGAGUCUGUGCUCUCCGCAGAGGAGACCAGACGACCGUCACCUUCAGCGGGCUCAGAUGCUGCGUGGAAUGACAAUGUGGUUUGGAACAGACUUGGUGAAGAACAUGGAAACAUCUCUUAAUAAAAUGGCCCCAAACAUCAUCAGGAGUGCAAAAGAAGGAAGUAAAAAACAUCUCUACGCCAAUCUCAUUGGAGAGGAAACCACAGAAGGUCUGGUGAGAAAUGCUGCACUUAUGUUAUUGCAAGCAUUAUUUCAAGAAAAUCCCAGCUUCCUUGACUGUGUAAAUAGUGAACCCAAAGGUCCCACACCAACCAUAGUGUUCAACGGCUCUCCUGAUCUUCUUAAAUCUGAAAGUAUCAACUUUAUAAUGGACAAUGUGAACUUAAUAUGUGGAAGACAUUGACAUCACAGGCUGUGGAAUGACUGUGUCACAGGUCGGAGAAGCGGACCGCCCCUGUCGCGGAUCACGCUCCUCCUAGUUCCACCUCGAGGAGGUCCCAAAGCACCCCAAUGACCAGACAAACCAGAGAUAAGUAAAAUAUAGAAAUAGAAACUUUAUUUAAAUUAUUUAAAACUAAAGUGGGGAAUGGGAAAGGGAAUCUAAAAAUCUCGCUUCUCGCCCUCAGGGGGAGUAUUACGGGGCCAGGGACGUUGGAGGGGUUUCCAAGUGACUCCAGCUGGAACACCGCUACAGAGCGUAUCUGGGUGGGUUGGGCACACACCGUCGCGGCGGCCCCUGAUGGCAUCCACAAGGGUCCAAGACCCUCCUAAGCUCCUAGCCGUAGCAGAACUACGUAUUUCAGCACCCGAAGGACUAACAACCCAGCCGGCAUCUGCAGCGUAUAUCCAACGCGAUCAAACUUCACUCUGACAAGUAACUUCCUAUACACAACCACGCCGUCCUUUCGCCCGGACCAGCCCCACACUCUUUCCGCCCGCUACCUAGUGGUCGCCGGAUCAGCAGAGCCUGCGGACUCUUCGGAGGCUGGUCUUCGUUGUGCUGCCCAAGGCGGAAGUUGACUCGCCCGAAAAUCGACCCUUCCAGUAACUUCUAACUUCUCUCUUUAUAUCCUCCUCCAUGGCGUGGCUCGCCCAACCAUCGCUCGCCACGUCACUCACACAGCUGUGCCUUGUUUUAGCGAGUGCGGGGAUUCCCAGGGAACCCUGAAGUGCCGGUGUCUCUACAAACCGGUCCGGGCGGAACCUCUUCACUCUCCUUUUGGUUCCGCCCCGCAUAGUCACUCCGUGACAACUGUUUGCGUUUUUUUUUCUCCUCAAUGUUCAAUACCCUUUUGCCAUUAAGCACACAGUGACUUUAAUUUAUAAAAUAUAUGCUUAAGUUUUAAUACCUGUACAAAACAAAUGUACAAUCAACUUGUGUAAAUUGUCAU
This is a non-coding RNA of Misgurnus anguillicaudatus (oriental weatherfish), 1728 nucleotides long. NCBI's taxonomy places the organism in Eukaryota, Metazoa, Chordata, Actinopteri, Cypriniformes, Cobitidae. The record is from RefSeq and is a predicted model, not a curated record.